CCCUUAGAUGUUCUGGGCCGCACGCGCGCUACACUGAUGCAUUCAACGAGCCUAUCCUUGACCGACAGGUCCGGGUAAUCUUUGAAUCCGCAUCGUGACGGGGAUAGAUUAUUGCAAUUAUUAAUCUUCAACGAGGAAUGCCUAGUAGGCGCAAGUCAUCAGCUUGCGUCGAUUACGUCCCUGCCCUUUGUACACACCGCCCGUCGCUCCUACCGAUUGGGUGUGCUGGUGAAAUGUUCGGAUCGGCCGUUUGUCGCGGUUUCCGCGUCAUGUGGCUGAGAAGUUCAUUAAACCCUCCCACCUAGAGGAAGGAGAAGCCGUAACA
Molecule: ribosomal RNA, 325 nt
Filed under: uncultured eukaryote
Lineage: Eukaryota
Description: partial 18S ribosomal RNA
Rfam family: Eukaryotic small subunit ribosomal RNA
Source: RNAcentral